CCUACGGGAGGCAGCAGUGGGGAAUUUUGGACAAUGGGCGAAAGCCUGAUCCAGCAAUGCCGCGUGAGUGAAGAAGGCCUUCGGGUUGUAAAGCUCUUUUGUCAGGGAAGAAACGGUGAGGGCUAAUAUCCCUUGCUAAUGACGGUACCUGAAGAAUAAGCACCGGCUAACUACGUGCCAGCAGCCGCGGUAAUACGUAGGGUGCAAGCGUUAAUCGGAAUUACUGGGCGUAAAGCGUGCGCAGGCGGUUUUGUAAGUCUGUCGUGAAAUCCCCGGGNUCACGUGGAUGCG
This 291-nucleotide ribosomal RNA is filed under the name uncultured bacterium. RNAcentral's name for it is "partial 16S ribosomal RNA". It matches the Rfam family "Bacterial small subunit ribosomal RNA", at positions 338 to 625 of the family's 1533-position model. The record is from RNAcentral.